This is a long non-coding RNA of Gallus gallus (chicken), 350 nucleotides long. The record is from Ensembl. NCBI's taxonomy places the organism in Eukaryota, Metazoa, Chordata, Aves, Galliformes, Phasianidae.
GAAGAAUACUCCACAGUCUGGCUCUUGGUUUAGGACUUAAGCCUUCCACUGAGUCUUCCUCUUCACUGCUCCUCCAAGGCGAUGGCUGAGUUCCACCACCAUUACCACUCACAAGCUGUUAUGAUGCUCGUUCUGCCAAAGACACUGAGCUCUGUGAGUCCAUUUUCCCGUCACUUCCCAGACCCGAGAAGGGCAUCACCAGAGACCCGCUGUGAUGAGUGAUUAUUUAAAGAAAUGAAAAAGGCACUGUCAGCAGUAGUGGGAUAAGCCAUCUGUGGUUCAUGCAAGAGAAAUCUACAGCACAGAUUCUGAGAUCUAAGCAGAAAUAUUUGAAACAAUUCAUACCUAUA